UUAUCGUUUAUUUGAUAGUACCUUUCCUACUUGGAUAACCGUGGUAAUUCUAGAGCUAAUACAUGCUAAAAAUCCCGACUUCGGAAGGGAUGUAUUUAUUAGAUACAGAACCAAUGCCCUUCGGGGCUCUCUGGUGAAUCAUGAUAACUCCGCGGAUCGCACGGCCUUGCGCCGGCGAUGGUUCAUUCAAAUUUCUGCCCUAUCAACUUUCGACGGCUGGGUAUUGGCCAGCCGUGGUGACAACGGGUAACGGAGGGUUAGGGCUCGACCCCGGAGAAGGAGCCUGAGAGACGGCUACUACAUCCAAGGAAGGCAGCAGGCGCGCAAAUUACCCAAUCCCGACUCGGGGAGGUAGUGACGAUAAAUACUGAUCCAGGGCUCUUUUGGGUCUUGGAAUUGGAAUGAGUACAAUUUAAAUCCCUUAACGAGGAACAAUUGGAGGGCAAGUCUGGUGCCAGCAGCCGCGGUAAUUCCAGCUCCAAUAGCGUAUAUUAAAGUUGUUGAGGUUAAAAAGCUCGUAGUUGAACCUUGGGCCUGGCUGGCCGGUCCGCCUCACCGCGUGCACUGGUCCGGCCGGGCCUUUCCCUCUGGGGAACCGCAUGCCCUUCGCUGGGCGUGUCGGGGAACCAGGACUUUUACUCUGAACAAAUCAGAUCGCUCAAAGAAGGCUCUCGCUCGAAUGCAUUAGCAUGGAAUAAUGGAAUAGGACGUGUGGUUCUAUUUUGUUGGUUUCUAGGACCGCCGUAAUGAUUAAUAGGGACAGUCGGGGGCAUCAGUAUUCAAUUGUCAGAGGUGAAAUUCUUGGAUCUAUUGAAGACUAACUACUGCGAAAGCAUUUGCCAAGGAUGUUUUCAUUAAUCAGGAACGAAAGUUAGGGGAUCGAAGACGAUCAGAUACCGUCGUAGUCUUAACCAUAAACUAUGCCGAUUAGGGAUCGGACGAUGUUAUUUU
RNAcentral lists this ribosomal RNA (951 nucleotides) under Catenularia catenulata. RNAcentral's name for it is "SSU rRNA". It matches the Rfam family "Eukaryotic small subunit ribosomal RNA", at positions 110 to 1069 of the family's 1831-position model. The record is from RNAcentral. Lineage: Eukaryota; Fungi; Ascomycota; Sordariomycetes; Chaetosphaeriales; Chaetosphaeriaceae.